UCACAGAGAAUGGUGCGUUUAUCAUGAGCAACUUUGCCUUCGUUGAGGGUAAUUGACAUCAACUUGGCUCUGCUGCUCAAGAUGACGGUGCCCUUCACUUCCUCU
Brugia malayi is the source of this 105-nucleotide non-coding RNA. The record is from RefSeq and is a predicted model, not a curated record. Lineage: Eukaryota; Metazoa; Nematoda; Chromadorea; Rhabditida; Onchocercidae.